GAUGAACGCUAGCUACAGGCUUAACACAUGCAAGUCGAGGGGCAGCGGGGAGGAUGCUUGCAUUCUCUGCCGGCGACCGGCGCACGGGUGAGUAACGCGUACCGAACCUGCCUCAUACUCGGGAAUAGCCUUGCGAAAGUAAGAUUAAUGCCCGGUGUUCCGCGAGGGCCGCAUGGCCUUUUCGGCAAAGUUUUUUACGGUAUGAGAUGGCGGUGCGUCCCAUUAGCUUGUUGGCGGGGUAACGGCCCACCAAGGCGACGAUGGAUAGGGGUUCUGAGAGGAAGGUCCCCCACAUUGGAACUGAGACACGGUCCAAACUCCUACGGGAGGCAGCAGUGAGGAAUAUUGGUCAAUGGGCGAGAGCCUGAACCAGCCAAGUAGCGUGAAGGAUGACGGCCCUACGGGUUGUAAACUUCUUUUGUGCGGGAAUAAAGGAGCCUACGUGUAGGCUUUUGCAUGUACCGUAACGAAUAAGCAUCGGCUAACUCCGUGCCAGCAGCCGCGGUAAUACGGAGGAUGCGAGCGUUAUCCGGAUUUAUUGGGUUUAAAGGGAGCGUAGACGGGUUUUUAAGUCAGCUGUGAAAGUUUGGGGCUCAACCUUAAAAUUGCAGUUGAAACUGGAGACCUUGAGUACGGUUGAGGCAGGCGGAAUUCGUGGUGUAGCGGUGAAAUGCUUAGAUAUCACGAAGAACCCCGAUUGCGAAGGCGGCCUGCUAAGCCGCCACUGACGUUGAGGCUCGAAAGUGCGGGUAUCAAACAGG
RNAcentral lists this ribosomal RNA (761 nucleotides) under uncultured bacterium. RNAcentral describes it as "bacterial SSU rRNA". It matches the Rfam family "Bacterial small subunit ribosomal RNA", at positions 28 to 776 of the family's 1533-position model. The record is from RNAcentral.